UCUCGGUCUAGAAGCUCCCAGCCUCGCCGAGCUUAGCUAAUCAGAGCUCGAAUCAGCGGUGGGUGAGAAGAGGAGAUAUAAUAUACAAGGAGGUCCUAACGGCUUAGAUGAGGUAAUAUGAACAUCACCUGUGAAAUAUCAUGCAUCAUUUGUUUUGUCCAUUGUUACUGCUGCUGCUAAUAACAGUUUCUUUUUGUUGUUACAUUUAAUCAACAGGAUUAUUGUGCACGUCAUUCUUAGACCACGCAAGCAAGGUAUGCACAACGGUUUUCAAGAAAUCUUUUAACGAAAUUGAGGUCCCUGGAUUUAGUGAGCAAGGAGCUUCGCAAGGCUGCAUUUUAGAUAAAAAAAAUUAAUACUUACUGCGGUUAUUAUUAGUAUAUUUGAAAUAAAGAGUAUACGUGAUGUACAGACUCACCACGCAGAUCAUGUGUAAUAUUCAGAAUUUCACACUUUAAUGGUCUUAUACAUGUAACCUAUUCGACUUGAUCUAUAUGACCUGAUAUUCAUGUAACUAAUCAGUAAUGGAUAAAUACCCACACAAAAGAUUUGAAAAUUGCAGAUAAUGUCAAUGAGGCUUCAAAAUAACUCCCAGAUGCUAAUUUGGUAAGACUAAAGCUUCAUUCCCUGUUCAUCAGAUAAUUAUAUGGUUGCAGUUCUAACAGAUAUUUCCUUGGUUCAAGAAGAUGCUGAUGAGAAAA
Molecule: long non-coding RNA, 701 nt
Filed under: Oryza brachyantha (malo sina)
Lineage: Eukaryota; Viridiplantae; Streptophyta; Magnoliopsida; Poales; Poaceae
Description: long non-coding RNA (OBRA_LNC002119)
Source: RNAcentral